RNAcentral lists this ribosomal RNA (389 nucleotides) under Vibrio parahaemolyticus. Its description in RNAcentral is "bacterial LSU rRNA". It matches the Rfam family "Bacterial large subunit ribosomal RNA", at positions 484 to 875 of the family's 2925-position model. Lineage: Bacteria; Pseudomonadati; Pseudomonadota; Gammaproteobacteria; Vibrionales; Vibrionaceae. The record is from RNAcentral.
CCGAUAGUGAACCAGUACCGUGAGGGAAAGGCGAAAAGAACCCCGGUGAGGGGUGUGAAAUAGAACCUGAAUCCGUGUACGUACAAGCAGUAGGAGCAGGCUUUGUCCUGUGACGUCGUACCUCUUGUAUAAUGGGUCAGCGACUUAUAGUCAGUGGCAAGGUUAACCAUCUAGGGGGGCCGUAGGGAAACCGAGUCUUAGCUGGGCGUUCAGUCUCUGGAUAUAGACCCGAAACCAGGUGAUCUAGCCAUGGGCAGUUUGAAGGUUGAGUCACAUCAACUGGAGGACCGACCCGACUAAUGUUGAAAAAUUAGCGGAUGACUUGUGGCUAGGGGUGAAUGGCCAAUCAAACCUGGAGAUAGCUGGUUCUCCCCGAAAGCUAUGUAGGU